GCGCACCAGGCGCGAAAACUUCACACUGUGCGAAAGCACGAUGAGGGAAUCCCAAGUGCUUGCACGUAAGUGUAAGCUGUUUCUCUGUCUAAAACGCAGAGAGAGUAAGGGCUGGGUAAGACGGGUGCCAGCCGCCGCGGUAAUACCUGCAGCUCAAGUGGUGACCGUUAUUAUUGGGCCUAAAACGUCCGUAGCCGGUUUAAUAAAUGCCUGGGUAAAUUGUGUAGCUUAACUAUACGAAUUCCGGGUAGACUGUUAAACUUGAGACCGGGAGAAGUUAGAGGUACUCCUGGGGUAGAGGUGAAAUUCUGUAAUCCUAGGGGGACCACCAGUGGCGAAGGCGUCUAACUAGAACGGGUCUGACGGUGAGGGACGAAGCCCUGGGGCGCAAACGGGAUUAGAUACCCCUGUAGU
Molecule: ribosomal RNA, 414 nt
Filed under: uncultured microorganism
Description: bacterial SSU rRNA
Rfam family: Archaeal small subunit ribosomal RNA
Source: RNAcentral